Molecule: non-coding RNA, 241 nt
Organism: Pelobates cultripes (western spadefoot toad)
Lineage: Eukaryota; Metazoa; Chordata; Amphibia; Anura; Pelobatidae
Source: the annotation of a GenBank genome assembly
GCAAAACCAAGGAGUUGGCCUGGGACUCCCAAAUGUAUAAAAGAAACCAAGAGGGCUCCCAUAGCAUUGUAUGGGUUUAUUAGGGAGGAUGUGCGUAUGGUGUCACAUAAACACAUUCAUUUCUCACACUUGCAUGCAGCCUUGAGUGGCAUCUAACUCACUAAAAUGAGUUACAUUCACUCCUCUUUCUCGUUCACUUGAAUCAUUAUCUCAUUUAAUUUAGGCCUUACCCCAAGUCCAC